Fukomys damarensis (Damara mole-rat) is the source of this 3174-nucleotide long non-coding RNA. NCBI's taxonomy places the organism in Eukaryota, Metazoa, Chordata, Mammalia, Rodentia, Bathyergidae. The record is from Ensembl.
UUAACUCUUAAGAACACUGGCAUUCUCUAACUUUCCUUUCUGUCCAUGGCCACAGAAAAAAUUAUGGACUUGAAGGAGCAGCCAGGUAACACUGUUUCGGCUGGUCAAGAAGAUUUCCCAUCUGUCCUGCUUGAAACUGCCGCUUCUCUUCCUUCUCUGUCUCCUCUCUCAACUGCUUCUUUUAAAGAACAUGAAUACCUUGGUGACUUACCAGCAGUAUCUCCCAUGGAAGGAGCACUUCGAGAAACUUUAAGUGAAGCUUCUAAAGAUUUCUCAGAGAAGGCAAAAAAUCCAUUUGUAGAUAGAGAUUUAACAAAACGUUCAGAAUUAGAAUACUCAGUAAUGGGAUCAUCAUUGAGUGGCACUCCAAAAGCAGAAUCUGCCAUAUUAGUAGAAAAUCCUAAGGAAGAAAUAGUUGUGAAGAACAAAGAUGAAAAGGAGGAUUUAGUUAGUAAUAUCAUUCUUCGUAAUCAACAACAAUCACCUGUAGCACUUUCUAAAUUGGUUAAAGAAGAGGAAAGAGGCAUAUCACCAGAAAAAACAAAGGACAGUUAUGAAAUGGGAAUUGCAGUAGAAGCACCUUUGCGGGAGGAAUAUGCAGACUUCAAACCAUUUGAGCAAGUAUGGGAAGUCAGAGAUACUUUUAAGGGAGAUAGGAAUGUGUUGGCUGCUAGGGGUAAUAUAGAAAGCAAAUUGGAAAGUAAAGUGGAUAAGAAAGGUUUUGCAGAUAGCCUUGAGCAAACAAAUCAUGAAAAUGAUAGUGAAAGCAGUAACGAUGAUGCUUCUUUUCCCAGUACACCAGAAGCUGUAAAAGACAGUUCAAGAGCAUAUAUCACAUGUGCUCCCUUUAACCCAACAGCAACUGAGAGCAUUGCAACAACUGUCUUUCCUUUGUUAGAAGAUCAUACUUCAGAAAAUAAGACUGAUGAGAAAAAAAUCGAAGAAAAAAAGGCCCAAAUUGUAACAGAGAAGACUAGCACCAAAACAUCAAACCCUUUCCUUGUGGCAACACAAGAUUCUGAGACAGAUUAUGUUACAACAGAUAAUUUAUCAAAGGUGACUGAUGAAGUGGUGGCAAACAUGCCUGAAGGACUAACUCCAGAUUUAGUACAAGAAGCUUGUGAGAGUGAAUUUAAUGAAGCUGUGGGUACAAAAGCUGCUUAUGAAACAAAAAUGGACUUGGUGCAAACAUCAGAAGCUGUGCAGGAUUCACUGUACCCUGUAGCACAGCUUUGCCCUUCAUUUGAAGAAUCUGAAGCUACUCCUUCACCAGUUUUGCCUGACAUUGUUAUGGAAGCACCAUUAAAUUCUCUAGUUCCUAGUGCUGGUGCUUCUGUGGCACAGCCCAGUUCAUCACCGUUAGAAGCUCCUCCAGUUAAUUAUGAGAGCAUAAAACAUGACCCUGAAAAUCCUCCACCAUAUGAAGAGGCCAUGAAUGUAUCACUAAAAAAAGUAUCAGGAAUAAUGGAAGAAAUUAAAGACCCUGAAAGUAUUAAUGCAGCUGUUCAGGAAACAGAAGCGCCUUAUAUAUCUAUUGCAUGUGAUUUAAUUAAAGAAACGAAGCUCUCUGCUGAACCAAAUCCAGAUUUCUCCAACUAUUCAGAAAUAGUAAAAGUUGAAAAGCCAAUCUCUGAUCAUUCUGAGCUUGUUGAAGAUUCCUCACCUGAUUCUGAACCAGUUGACCUAUUUAGUGAUGACUCAAUACCUGAAGUUCCACAAAAACAGGAUGAAGCUGUGAUGCUCAUGAAAGAAAAUCUUGCAGAAACUUCAUCUCAAUCGAUAGAAAUAGAAAAUGUGGGAAAACUCAGUGCUUUACCACCUGAAGGGGGAAAGCCAUAUUUGGAAUCUUUUCAACCUAAUUUAGAUACUAUGAAAAAUACUCUAUCACCUGAUGAAGUUUCAUUAUUGACCAGAAAGGAGAAAAUUCCUUUACAGAUGGAGGAGCUUGAUACUUCAGUCUACUCAGAUGAUGACUUACUUAUUUCUAAGGAAGCAAAUGCAAGAGAAAAUGAAACAUUUUCAGAUUCAUCUCCAAUUGAGAUUAUAGAUGAAUUUCCCACAUUAGUCAGCUCUAAAAUGGAUUCUUCUAAAUUAGCCAGUGAAUACACUAACCUAGAAGUAUCCCACAAAAGUGAUAGAGCUGGGUCAUUGCUAUGCUCAGUAAUGCCCCAUGAUCUUUCUUUCAAGAACAUACAUCCUAAAGAUGAAGAUAAAAUCCUUGGCUCAGAUGAGUUUUGCAAAGAUAGAUCUGACAUAUCAAAGGUUCCUUUACUGCCUCCAGAAGUUUCUCCUUUGGCAACUCAAACAGAGAUAGGAAGCACAAUUAAACCCAAAGUUCUUAUGAAAGAAGCAGAGAAAAAACUUCCUUCUGAUACAGAAAAAGAGAACAGAUCACCAUCUGCUAUAUUUUCAGCAGAGCUGAGUAAAACAUCAGUUGUUGACCUCCUCUACUGGAGAGAUAUUAAGAAGACUGGAGUGGUGUUUGGUGCCAGCUUAUUCUUGCUGCUCUCAUUGACAGUAUUUAGUAUUGUGAGUGUAACAGCCUACAUUGCCUUGGCCCUGCUCUCUGUCACUAUCAGCUUUAGGAUAUAUAAAGGUGUGAUCCAAGCUAUCCAGAAAUCAGAGGAAGGCCACCCAUUCAGGGCAUAUUUGGAAUCUGAAGUAGCUAUAUCUGAGGAAUUGGUUCAAAAAUACAGUAGUUCUACUCUUGGGCAUGUGAACUGCACCAUAAAAGAAUUCAGGCGCCUCUUCUUAGUUGAUGAUUUAGUUGAUUCUCUGAAGUUUGCAGUGUUGAUGUGGGUAUUUACCUAUGUUGGUGCCUUGUUCAAUGGUCUGACACUACUGAUUUUGGCUCUGAUUUCACUCUUCAGUGUUCCUGUUAUUUAUGAACGACAUCAGGUCCAGGAGAAGACCUGUUGUCUAUCACCGAAAACCCUCAAAUUCCACCCCAAUCUUUCUCAACGCCAUACGUGGGUCUGGAGAACAAAACAAGUACAAAAGCUUCUAGAGUCUGAAAUGAUGAAGUUCAAGGUUUCCUCCUCCCCAGUGAACAGAACUGAUGGCUUCUCAGUGUCUACUUCUGCUCAAGGCAGUGGAGUGGGCUCUGGAGGUAAUGUUCUACUGAGCAAAAUGGCACUAUUUAUCAUAAAGGGAAGUCUGCGUGUUAUGGGUUAG